Molecule: ribosomal RNA, 253 nt
Filed under: uncultured bacterium
Lineage: Bacteria
Description: partial 16S ribosomal RNA
Rfam family: Bacterial small subunit ribosomal RNA
Source: RNAcentral
UACGGGGGGGGCAAGCGUUGUUCGGAAUUACUGGGCGUAAAGGGCUCGUAGGCGGCCAACUAAGUCAGACGUGAAAUCCCUCGGCUUAACCGGGGAACUGCGUCUGAUACUGGAUGGCUUGAGUUCGGGAGAGGGAUGCGGAAUUCCAGGUGUAGCGGUGAAAUGCGUAGAGAUCAGGAGGAACACCCGUGGCGAAGGCGGCACGCUGGGCCGGCCCUGACGCUGAGGCGCGAAAGCGUGGGGAGCGAACGGG